AAAAAAAAAAAAAAAAACUAGAGGCGAAAACCCGAAAGGGCGCUUCUAGCCGAAUGGACGAAGAGAAAGUGAAAACCCGCAAGGGCGCUUUCCGUAGAAUAAGAAGAAAGUCAGGAAUGGAAAAGAGACACCCGAAAGAAUGAGAUCACAAGUCCGGUCUUGCAACUCCUCCUCCAUUAAUCGUCCGCCUUCGUUAUCUUGUUAAGUACACUUCU
Molecule: unclassified non-coding RNA, 215 nt
Filed under: Hevea brasiliensis (rubber tree)
Lineage: Eukaryota; Viridiplantae; Streptophyta; Magnoliopsida; Malpighiales; Euphorbiaceae
Source: RNAcentral